This 367-nucleotide ribosomal RNA is filed under the name uncultured bacterium. RNAcentral's name for it is "bacterial SSU rRNA". It matches the Rfam family "Bacterial small subunit ribosomal RNA", at positions 28 to 359 of the family's 1533-position model. The record is from RNAcentral.
GACGAACGCUGGCGGCGUGCCUAAUACAUGCAAGUCGAACGCACUCUCGUUUAGAUUGAAGGAGCUUGCUCCUGAUUGAUAAACAUUUGAGUGAGUGGCGGACGGGUGAGUAACACGUGGGUAACCUGCCCUAAAGUGGGGGAUAACAUUUGGAAACAGAUGCUAAUACCGCAUAAAACCUAACACCGCAUGGUGUAGGGUUGAAAGAUGGUUUCGGCUAUCACUUUAGGAUGGACCCCGCGGUGCAUUAGUUAGUUGGUGAGGUAAAGGCUCACCAAGACCGUGAUGCAUAGCCGACCUGAGAGGGUAAUCGGCCACACUGGGACUGAGACACGGCCCAGACUCCUUACGGGAGGCAGCAGUAGGG